Molecule: ribosomal RNA, 253 nt
Filed under: uncultured bacterium
Lineage: Bacteria
Also listed under: 1 other name
Description: partial 16S ribosomal RNA
Rfam family: Bacterial small subunit ribosomal RNA
Source: RNAcentral
UACGUAGGUGGCAAGCGUUGUCCGGAAUUAUUGGGCGUAAAGCGCGCGCAGGCGGCUUCUUAAGUCUGAUGUGAAAUCUUGCGGCUCAACCGCAAAUGGUCAUUGGAAACUGGGAAGCUUGAGUGCAGAAGAGGAGAGUAGAAUUCCACGUGUAGCGGUGAAAUGCGUAGAUAUGUGGAGGAAUACCAGUGGCGAAGGCGGCUCUCUGGUCUGUAACUGACGCUGAGGCGCGAAAGCGUGGGGAGCAAACAGG